GACGAACGCUGGCGGCGUGCCUAAUACAUGCAAGUAGAACGCACAGUUUAUACCGUAGCUUGCUACACCAUAGACUGUGAGUUGCGAACGGGUGAGUAACGCGUAGGUAACCUGCCUGGUAGCGGGGGAUAACUAUUGGAAACGAUAGCUAAUACCGCAUAAUAUUAAUUAUUGCAUGAUAAUUAAUUGAAAGGUGCAAUUGCACCACUACCAGAUGGACCUGCGUUGUAUUAGCUAGUAGGUGAGGUAACGGCUCACCUAGGCGACGAUACAUAGCCGACCUGAGAGGGUGAUCGGCCACACUGGGACUGAGACACGGCCCAGACUCCUACGGGAGGCAGCAGUAGGGGAUCUUCGGCAAUGGACGAAAGUCUGACCGAGCAACGCCGCGGGAGUGAAGAAGGUUUUCGGAUCGUAAAGCUCUGUUGUAAGAGAAGAACGGGUGUGAGAGUGGAAAGUUCACACUGUGACGGUAUCUUACCAGAAAGGGACGGCUAACUACGUG
RNAcentral lists this ribosomal RNA (505 nucleotides) under uncultured bacterium. RNAcentral describes it as "partial 16S ribosomal RNA". It matches the Rfam family "Bacterial small subunit ribosomal RNA", at positions 28 to 507 of the family's 1533-position model. The record is from RNAcentral.